AUGGAGGAACUGGGGCUGAAGGAAGAAGACCUGGAUGACGUUGUCUUUGAUGAAGAGAAGGCCCCCCUGGAGGCUGGAUGACGUUGGCUGGCUAUUGCUAGGGUUCACUCGGAGAAAUCCUACAGCCAAUAUUGGUUCUUCCGGAACAUGAGGUCAGCGUGGGAUCUUGCGCAAACGGCAAACUUCAAGCCGCUGGAGGAUAACUUGUACACCAUCCAAUUUUCUUGCUUGGGGGAUUGGGAGCGGGUCACUCAAGAGGGACCGUGGCACUUCAGAGGGGAUGCGGUGAUCAUCAAGCCGUAUGAUGGAGUGUCGAAGCCGUCCACAGUCAGCCUUGACACAAUUGAGAUCUGGAUUCAACCCAUGACGUACCGCAGCUUUAUGCCCAACUGGUUCCAUCCCUAG
RNAcentral lists this ribosomal RNA (405 nucleotides) under Triticum aestivum (bread wheat). Its description in RNAcentral is "partial small subunit ribosomal RNA". Lineage: Eukaryota; Viridiplantae; Streptophyta; Magnoliopsida; Poales; Poaceae. The record is from RNAcentral.